RNAcentral lists this ribosomal RNA (347 nucleotides) under uncultured fungus. RNAcentral's name for it is "eukaryotic LSU rRNA". The stretch from base 1 to 71 matches the Rfam family "5.8S ribosomal RNA", at positions 84 to 154 of the family's 154-position model. The record is from RNAcentral. Lineage: Eukaryota; Fungi.
GUGAGUCAUCGAAUCUUUGAACGCACCUUGCGCUCCUUGGUAUUCCUUGGAGCAUGCCUGUUUGAGUAUCAUGAAAUCUUCAAAGUAAAUCUUUUGUUAAUUCAAUUGGUUUCUACUUUGGUAUUGGAGGUUAUUGCAGCUUCACACCUGCUCCUCUUUGUGCAUUAGCUGGAUCUCAGUGUUAUGCUUGGUUCCACUCAGCGUGAUAAGUUAUCUAUCGCUGAGGACACUGUAAAAGGUGGCCAAGGUAAAUGCAGAUGAACCGCUUCUAAUAGUCCAUUGACUUGGACAAAAUUAAAUUUUUAUGAUCUGAUCUCAAAUCAGGUAGGACUACCCGCUGAACUUAA